AGCAUUUCUAAAUGACUUGAAGCUCUGUCACGGCAUAAUCUCUUAUAAAUAAAUGUCAGUGUAGUCACUGAAUGCAGACUGGAUUUUUGCCUGACUACGGUGCUCAGCCUUCUAGACAAUAGUUAUGCUAAGGGAUUAUCUUUUAACAUUGUGCAGUUAUCUCCUUUGUUUGUUUUCUUUUUUCAUUAUUCACAUAAGCCAAGGGAAAUGAAAAGCAUCUUAUUUCAGGCAAAAAGGCCUGUGAAUGAUUAACUCUGGUUCCAUGCGUUGGGACUUUGCAUAGCAACCCCGUGGCUUGCAACGACAAAAAAGCUCAAGGCAGGAACAGCAGCCCAGGGACCUGAGACCAGCGUUCUCAAAUGAAGAUCUGCUGUUAGAGGAGAAUUCUUCUGUCCUAGCUGUGUCUCUGUGAUCUGUGGAUGAGGGUGGGAAAGCACCACUCAGUCAAUUGGGGUGUACAAAAUGGAGUUUGAGAAGGUCUCACAUCCAGGUUGUUUUGAAGCAAAGUCCAAGCAUUGUAUCACUUCAUCUGCAAAUAUUUCAAUAAGUACCCAAAAGGUCCAGAUUGACUGCAAGAACAAAUCAGCAAUCCUGAGAGGACCCACAGGCCCUCUGAAGGAAGCAGACUACUCCUGCAGGACCUGGGAGAUACCCUGAAUACUUGGUUGGACUGAGUCCCAUGAAGCCAGAUCACUUCUGACUGCAAGGAGCUUGGAAAAGCAAGUAUCUGGAUCUUUUACCAGCUAAAUUUGGAGUCUAAGACAGAAGAAAACUGCAGAAGAUUGCUACCCGUUCAAGUAGAAAAACUCAAGCUGGAAAAUUAGCACAGCUGGAAAGGCUAAUGAACUUAGCAUUUAAAAAUGCUUGUAGAGCCGCCAGAUCUACCCCUCAAUCCCAGAGGUAGCUGUUUUUGACAUAAUCAACCCAAUCAUGAAACUUCAGAACCAUUUAAAUAUCACAGUGGUGAAAUAGAUUUGUUUGUACCACGACCUUCACAAUUUUUCUCACGAUUGUCUUUCACCACCCAUCAUUUGCUCCUGACAAAGUGCCAUUUCUUAUUUUCUCUUUAAAUAGACAAGUGGCAAAUUGACCAGCAAGGUAGCUGGCCAGGGUUAGAACUCUGUUAUUGAAUUCCUAUGGUGGGAGUGAAAACAAAAAUACUGAUGGAUACCUAUGUUAUGCCUACAAUUAACAGAGUAAACAUCUUAAUAGGCAUAGAAGACACAAACAGAUGUUCUAAUUGCAUGUCUGUGAGAAACUGAUGUUUACUAGUUCCACUCUGGCUUGGCCUUUGAGACCUCAGGAAGUUUCUCUCCCAGUGGGGAUUUCAGUGAUUUAUUGAUUUCAGUACAAUGAAUAUUUCAGAGACUCGCAGGAUUUUUAAGAGGUUAAAUACAUCCUUACAAAGGUUAGCAUUAUUCACGCUUGAAGGGAAUGCUUACUCUACUUUAACCAGGGUAGCUAUGGCCACAUUUGCCACAUUCUUGCCUAAGUGGGAGAGAAGAUGGAUGGGGUAAUGGAAGGGACUUUCUAAUAGAAAUUGUAGAAAUAAAACAUUGGC
RNAcentral lists this long non-coding RNA (1561 nucleotides) under Homo sapiens (human). RNAcentral describes it as "non-protein coding lnc-SPRY1-11:17". The record is from RNAcentral. Lineage: Eukaryota; Metazoa; Chordata; Mammalia; Primates; Hominidae.